This is a non-coding RNA of Salmo salar (Atlantic salmon), 56 nucleotides long. The record is from Rfam. Lineage: Eukaryota; Metazoa; Chordata; Actinopteri; Salmoniformes; Salmonidae.
UGUAUUCACACAUGGCUAAGUCGCUUUGGAUAAAAGCGCCUGCUAAAUGUAAUAUU